GUCAAUGUGGUGUUGUGGUUUGAGAGCUGGAAUAUGACUCUGGAGAUUCUGGGUUCGAUUCCCAGCUCAGCCA
Non-coding RNA from Phrynosoma platyrhinos (Desert horned lizard), 73 nucleotides. NCBI's taxonomy places the organism in Eukaryota, Metazoa, Chordata, Lepidosauria, Squamata, Phrynosomatidae. The record is from the annotation of a GenBank genome assembly.